Molecule: ribosomal RNA, 497 nt
Filed under: uncultured bacterium
Lineage: Bacteria
Description: partial 16S ribosomal RNA
Rfam family: Bacterial small subunit ribosomal RNA
Source: RNAcentral
GAUGAACGCUGGCGGCGUGCCUAAUACAUGCAAGUCGAGCGAACGGACGAGAAGCUUGCUUCUCUGAUGUUAGCGGCGGACGGGUGAGUAACACGUGGAUAACCUUCCUAUAAGACUUGGAUAACUUCGGGAAACCGGAGCUAAUACCGGAUAAUAUUUUGAACCGCAUGGUUCAAAAGUUAAAGACGGUCUUGCUGUCACUUAUAGAUGGAUCCGCGCUGCAUUAGCUAGUUGGUAAGGUAACGGCUUACCAAGGCAACGAUGCAUAGCCGACCUGAGAGGGUGAUCGGCCACACUGGAACUGAGACACGGUCCAGACUCCUACGGGAGGCAGCAGUAGGGAAUAUUCCGCAAUGGGCGAAAGCCUGACGGAGCAACGCCGCGUGAGUGAUGAAGGUCUUCGGAUCGUAAAACUCUGUUAUUAGGGAAGAACAUAUGUGUAAGUAAAUGUGCACAUCUUGACGGUACCUAAUCAGAAAGCCACGGCUAACUACGUG